AACGAACGCUGGCGGCAUGCCUAACACAUGCAAGUCGAACGAGACCUUCGGGUCUAGUGGCGCACGGGUGCGUAACGCGUGGGAACCUGCCCUUAGGUUCGGAAUAACUCCCCGACAGGGGUGCUAAUACCGGAUAAUGUCUUCGGCCCAAGGAUUUAUCGCCUUUGGAUGGGCCAGCGUUGGAUUAGCUCGUUGGUAGGGUAAAAGCCUACCAAGGCGUCGAUCCAUAGCUGGUCUGAGAGAAUGAUCAGCCACACUGGGGCUAAGACACGGCCCAGACUCCUACGGGAGGCAGCAGUGGGGAAUAGUGGACAAUGGGCGGAGGCCUGAUGCAGCAAGGCCGGGUGAGUGAUGAAAGCCUGAGGGUUGAAAAGCGCUUUUACCCGGGAUGAUAAUGACAGUACCGGAAGAAUAAGCUCCGGCUAACUCCGUG
Molecule: ribosomal RNA, 433 nt
Filed under: uncultured bacterium
Lineage: Bacteria
Description: partial 16S ribosomal RNA
Rfam family: Bacterial small subunit ribosomal RNA
Source: RNAcentral